This 63-nucleotide transfer RNA is filed under the name Nebria brevicollis. RNAcentral describes it as "tRNA-Thr". Lineage: Eukaryota; Metazoa; Arthropoda; Insecta; Coleoptera; Carabidae. The record is from RNAcentral.
GUUUUAAUAAUUUAAAUAAAAUAUUGGUCUUGUAAAUCAAAAAUAAGAAAAUCUUUUAAAACU